CCGCCUUGUUUUGUAUGGCAACUAAAUCUGUGUAAUUGUCUCGGCAGAAUCUUCUAGCCCUUUGCCAGUUCAUGGGUUUUUCAGAAUAAUGGUAAGUCCAGCAGUCGGUUCCAUGAUGUGCCAGGAAAUCACAACAGAGCAUUGUCCACCCCCACAACUUGAAGAUGUUCCAUAAGUCCCUCUGGGUGCUCUGACAUUUCCAUGGAAAUAUCAUGGCUUUGCUUGGUCCUUCUCUAGUUCUUCUGCAGCCCAUUGAGCCUCUUGACUUAGCACAAGGGUCUCAGGUCCUUGCCCAAAGGGAGUGUGCUGUGCUG
RNAcentral lists this long non-coding RNA (314 nucleotides) under Homo sapiens (human). RNAcentral's name for it is "LNC_000193". The record is from RNAcentral. Lineage: Eukaryota; Metazoa; Chordata; Mammalia; Primates; Hominidae.